This 369-nucleotide long non-coding RNA is filed under the name Homo sapiens (human). RNAcentral describes it as "HSALNT0393574". The record is from RNAcentral. Lineage: Eukaryota; Metazoa; Chordata; Mammalia; Primates; Hominidae.
GCCGUGGACCCUCGUCAUGAAUGUUACAGUUCUUAAAGAUGAAGAGAACAGCAUCAGGGCACAUUGAGGCUCAGAAAUUUAUAUUCCAAGAAGAGGUGCACAGGAACAGAGCAGAUCCAAAGCAGACAACCACCUGGAAGCAGUCAUAACAACAGCAAUAGCAAAUCAAUGCUGAUAAAAGAAAUCAAGUACAGAGAGUUUUAAGGACAUUGUCCAAAGUUGUACAAGGGCACCAUUUUUAAAAGUUGACAACCUCCUGCAGGGAUGUUCUGAAAGACAGAGACAUCUUGUCGGAAUUAUGAAUGUCCUUGGUGGAUGAGGCAGAAAGAGUUGACUGUGUAGGACAUUCCUGACAAGUCCUCAGGAUUU